GCAUAAUCACUUGUUUCCUAAAUAGAGACUAGUAUCAACGGCAUCACGAGGGUUAAACUGUCUCCCACCCCCCAUCAGUGAAACUGAUCUCCCCGUGAAGAAGCGGGGAUACAGUUAUAAGACGAGAAGACCCUAUGGAGCUUCAGGCAAUGCAGGCACCAUUACAAAACAAAACCACACAUAUACUAAAUCUGCCUGCCAGCCUUAGGUUGGGGCGACCGCGGAGUAAAAUAAAACCUCCACAACAAACAGGACUACACCUUAAUCCAAGAGCCACCACUCCAAGAAUAGAUAAAUCAAUGUAAUAUGACCCGAUAAUCGAUCAAUGAACCAAGUUACCCUAGGGAUAACAGCGCAAUCCAUUUCUAGAGCCCAUAUCAACAAAUGGGUUUACGACCUCGAUGUUGGAUCAGGGUAUCCCAGUGGUGCAGCCGCUACUAAAGGUUCGUUUGUUCAACGAUUAAAACCCUACGUGAUCUGAGUU
Molecule: ribosomal RNA, 484 nt
Filed under: Micrixalus saxicola (small torrent frog)
Lineage: Eukaryota; Metazoa; Chordata; Amphibia; Anura; Micrixalidae
Description: partial 16S ribosomal RNA
Rfam family: Bacterial large subunit ribosomal RNA
Source: RNAcentral